Molecule: ribosomal RNA, 467 nt
Filed under: uncultured bacterium
Lineage: Bacteria
Description: partial 16S ribosomal RNA
Rfam family: Bacterial small subunit ribosomal RNA
Source: RNAcentral
ACGAACGCUGGCGGCGUGCUUCACACAUGCCAGUCGAACGGAAAGGCCCUGCCUUUGUGGGGUGCUCGAGUGGCGAACGGGUGAGUAACACGGGAGUAACCUGCCCUUGACUUUGGGAUUACUUCAGGAAAAUGGGGCUAAUACCGGAUAGGAGCUCCUGCUGCAUGGUGGGGGUUGGAAAGUUUCGGCGGUUGGGGAUGGACUCGCGGCUUAUCAGCUUGUUGGUGGGGUAGUGGCUUACCAAGGCUUUGACGGGUAGCCGGCCUGAGAGGGUGACCGGCCACAUUGGGACUGAGAUACGGCCCAGACUCCUACGGGAGGCAGCAGUGGGGAAUAUUGCACAAUGGGCGGAAGCCUGAUGCAGCAACGCCGCGUGCGGGAUGACGGCCUUCGGGUUGUAAACCGCUUUCGCCUGUGACGAAGCGUGAGUGACGGUAAUGGGUAAAGAAGCACCGGCUAACUACGUG